CCUCCUCUUUUUGGCAGGGGUAAGGCGUGCGGUCCCGAUCCCUGUAAUGCAGGGAGGGAGAGGAAAAGGGCUCCAGCGCCCUCAGUGUCAUGUCGUUGGUGCUGACGGUUUCCAGUCUGCAGGUUCUAUCCUCAUGCACCAGGACACAA
Artibeus jamaicensis (Jamaican fruit-eating bat) is the source of this 149-nucleotide small nucleolar RNA. RefSeq annotates it as small nucleolar RNA SNORA57. The transcript has a single exon. Lineage: Eukaryota; Metazoa; Chordata; Mammalia; Chiroptera; Phyllostomidae. The record is from RefSeq and is a predicted model, not a curated record.